RNAcentral lists this unclassified non-coding RNA (327 nucleotides) under uncultured fungus. Its description in RNAcentral is "partial contains small subunit ribosomal RNA, internal transcribed spacer 1, and 5.8S ribosomal RNA". The stretch from base 1 to 73 matches the Rfam family "Eukaryotic small subunit ribosomal RNA", at positions 1759 to 1831 of the family's 1831-position model. The record is from RNAcentral. Lineage: Eukaryota; Fungi.
ACAAACUUGGUCAUUUAGAGGAAGUAAAAGUCGUAACAAGGUCUCCGUUGGUGAACCAGCGGAGGGAUCAUUACCGAGUUUACAAGCUCCCAAACCCCGUGCGAACCUACCCCGUACACGUUGCUUCGGCGGUGCCGCCCCGGGCGCGGGCCUCCCUCGCGGAGGCCCGCACGCCCCGGACCCAGGCGCCCGCCGGGGGACCCCCAAACUCUGUCUGCUCACCGCAGCGGUCUCCUCUGAGCCGCGCCCCCGGGCGCGGGAACAACACAACGAAUCAAAACUUUCAACAACGGAUCUCUUGGCUCUGGCAUCGAUGAAGAACGCAGC